This 301-nucleotide ribosomal RNA is filed under the name uncultured bacterium. Its description in RNAcentral is "partial 16S ribosomal RNA". It matches the Rfam family "Bacterial small subunit ribosomal RNA", at positions 509 to 807 of the family's 1533-position model. The record is from RNAcentral.
CAGUCGCCGCGGUAAUACGAAGGGGGCUAGCGUUGUUCGGAAUAACUGGGCGUAAAGGGCGCGUAGGCGGAUCUUUAAGUCAGGGGUGAAAUCCCAAGGCUCAACCUUGGAACUGCCUUUGAUACUGGAGAUCUUGAGUCCGGGAGAGGUGAGUGGAACUGCGAGUGUAGAGGUGAAAUUCGUAGAUAUUCGCAAGAACACCAGUGGCGAAGGCGGCUCACUGGCCCGGUACUGACGCUGAGGCGCGAAAGCGUGGGGAGCAAACAGGAUUAGAUACCCCUGUAGUCCCUGUCUCUUAUAC